ACGGGAGGCAGCAGUGAGGAAUAUUGGUCAAUGGACGGAAGUCUGAACCAGCCAUGCCGCGUGCAGGAAUAAGGCCCUAUGGGUCGUAAACUGCUUUUGUGGUGGAGCAAUGAGGCGUACGCGUACGUCGAUGAGAGUACAUCACGAAUAAGCAUCGGCUAACUCCGUGCCAGCAGCCGCGGUAAUACGGAGGAUGCGAGCGUUAUCCGGAUUUAUUGGGUUUAAAGGGUGCGCAGGCGGCACGUUAAGUCAGCGGUGAAAUGUCGGGGCUCAACCCGGGCACUGCCGUUGAAACUGGCGAGCUUGAGUACGGAUGAAGUCGGCGGAAUGUGAUGUGUAGCGGUGAAAUGCUUAGAUAUGUCACAGAACACCGAUUGCGAAGGCAGCUGACUAAUCCGCAACUGACGCUCAGGCACGAAAGCGUGGGGAUCGAACAGGAUUAGAUACCCUGGUA
RNAcentral lists this ribosomal RNA (454 nucleotides) under uncultured Solitalea sp. RNAcentral describes it as "partial 16S ribosomal RNA". It matches the Rfam family "Bacterial small subunit ribosomal RNA", at positions 341 to 792 of the family's 1533-position model. Lineage: Bacteria; Pseudomonadati; Bacteroidota; Sphingobacteriia; Sphingobacteriales; Sphingobacteriaceae. The record is from RNAcentral.